Molecule: RNA transcript, 4051 nt
Organism: Hevea brasiliensis (rubber tree)
Lineage: Eukaryota; Viridiplantae; Streptophyta; Magnoliopsida; Malpighiales; Euphorbiaceae
Exons: 10
Source: RefSeq, a predicted model, not a curated record
CUAAAAGACUGUUACGAAGAAAGAAAUCCUUACAAGCUGAAGAAGAGAAAAGACUGAAAGCAGCUUCUCAGCAUCAGAUCUGUUCUCUUCGUUAUCUUCUUGCCCUCUCAACUCGCUCUCUCACCCGCUCCCCAACUCGCAUUUCUUCGCUGAAUCGACUCGCUUAACGUCCACUGUGUCUAUCUAUCCAUUUUCAGAUAGGCCUCGGAGGUUGAUUGUUUUCGCUGCAUUGGAAGGACCGAUCGCGGGAAUGUUGAUUUUCUGUCUAGUUAGGCUGCUGUUCUGGUGACGGACUGGAUUUUCAGGCGAAUUCGCCGGUGGUGCUCCGCCGGAGAAGAUGUUCAGGUCGGCGAGAUGGAGGAACGAGAAGAACAAGAUCAAAGCUGUGUUCAAAUUGCAGUUCCAUGCUACUCAGAUUUCGCAGCUGAAUGUGGAGGCAUUGGUGAUAUCUGUGGUCCCUGGGGACGUUGGAAAGCCAACGGCACGGUUAGAGAAGGGUAUAAUUCGAGAGGGAAGUUUUCAGUGGGAAUAUCCAGUCUAUGAAACCGUGAAAUUUACUCAAGAUGCAAGAACAGGGAAGAUCAAUGAGAGAAGAUACCAUUUCAUUGUCUCAGCAGGAUUGUCAAAAAACAGUUUCGUUGGAGAAGUUUCAAUUGAUCUUGCCAAAUAUGCAGAGGCUACAAAAGCUUCCACCGUUUCUCUUCCCCUGAGGAAUUCAAAAUCUAAUGGGGUUUUGCAUGUUUCAAUUCAGAGGCUGCAGGCAAACAUCAAUCAAAGAGAUGUGGAGGAAACUGAAAAUGAAAACAUCAAAACCAGGAAUAGAACUCUGAACACCCUCUUAAGCAAUAGUGAAGCGGAAGACAUUAAGAGCAAUUCGAAUGAAGUUGGACUACUAAACAAUUCCGUCCACAAUCCUGAAGUAAAUGGUGACCGCGGAACAUCAAGCGGAUCUGACAUUACAUUGUCAAGUUCUGAGAGCAGCUCUGGGCAUAACACCCCACGUGAACUUGGAUCAAGAACUAAUAACUUCCUACAGGACUCAACUAGCUUCCUAUCAUCUCGGACCCUUGCCUCAGCUCCUCAUAAAGCAAAUGCAAAUGCCUCUGCAACAAUCUAUGAAGAGCAUCAGCAAUCACAAUGGGAGUGGUCAGCAGAUUCUGAUCAUGGAAUUACUGAUAAUUCAAUAAACAGUUCUCUAGACAACCUUACAAGAGAAAGGUCUCAACACACUUCAGAUAUUGAGAUUGAAAAGCUCAAGUCUGAAAUUAUUGCUUUGGCUAGACAAGUAGAUUUGUCUGAGUUGGAAUUGCAAACUCUUCGAAAGCAAAUUGUAAAAGAGAGUAAAAGGGGGCAGGAUCUCUUCAGAGAAGUCACAGGCUUGAAAGAGGAGAGAGAUGUUCUCAAGGCAGAAUGCGAGAAACUCAAAGCCUUUCACAAACGUAUAGAGGAGGCAAAAAACAAAGACAAGUUGCAGUUUGAGAGCGGAGAUGCACGAGUCCUUCUUGAAGAAAUCAGACAAGAAUUAAAUUAUGAAAAGGACAUGAAUGCCAAUCUUCGAUUACAACUGCAGAAGACCCAAGAAUCAAAUGCUGAGCUAAUGCUUGCUGUGAAAGACCUUGAAGAAAUGUUAGAGCAGAAAAAUAGGGAAACAUCUGAUCCUGCAAACAGAUCAAGAUUCUCUGAGAAUGCUAUGUCAAGAAGUGAGACUGAUGAUGAUGAAGAGCAAAAGGCAUUGGAAGAGCUUGUUAAGAAGCACAGAGAUGCUAAAGAAGCAUACCUGCUGGAGCAAAGGAUCAUGGAUCUCAGCAGUGAAAUAGAGAUCUAUAGGAGAGAUAAAGAUGAACUAGAGAUGCAAAUGGAGCAGCUUGCACUUGACUAUGAGAUACUGAAGCAAGAGAACCAUGACAUGUCAUAUAAAUUAGAGCAAAGUCAGCUGCAAGACCAACUGAAGUUGCAGUAUGAAUGCUCUUCUUUUGCCAAUAUAAAUGAACUAGAAGUCCAGAUUGAGAGCUUGGAAAAUGAACUCAAGAAUCAGUCCAAAGAAUACUCUGAAUCUUUGGUGGCCAUAAAUGAACUUCAAACCUACAUCAAGAGCUUGGAGGAUGAACUGGAGAAGCAAACUGAAGGAUUUGAAGCUGAUCUCGAAGCUCUAACUUGUGCAAAAGUUGAGCAGGAGCAAAGAGCCAUCAGGGCAGAGGAAGCCUUACGAAAGACAAGAUGGAAGAAUGCUAAUACAGCUGAAAAGCUACAGGAGGAAUUUAAAAAACUGUCCAUGCAAAUGACCUCUACAUUUGAUGCAAAUGAGAAUGUGGCUAUGAAAGCGUUGGCAGAAGCUAAUGAACUACGUAUGCAGAAAAGUCAACUUGAAGAAAUGCUUCAGAAAGCUAAUGAAGAUCUCCAAUCAGCUAGGGAUGAUUAUGAGACAAAACUGCACGACCUUUCCAGCCAAUUAAAUUUGAAAAUGGAUCAGAUAGAACAUAUGUUGGUGGAAAUUGAUGAUAAAAGAAAGCAGCUGGAAAAUCAAAAAGCGCACGAGGAAGAACUUAUCGGAUCUUUCUCUCAGGAAAUCGUGAGGCUAAAAAGUGAGCUUGAAAAGUUCAAAAUAGAAAAUAAUAUCCUUUCUGAGCGAGCAGAACAGAAAGACAAUAUGGGGGUUGAAUUGGAACAGUUGAAGGCGUCAAUUAAGCACACUGAAAAGCUGGUACAGAAAGGAAAUAUAGAAAGAAAUGAACUGGUGAGUACCCUUGCUUUGACGAAGAAGGAAGGAGAGAAGUUGAUGGAGGAGUUACAAAGAAUGAAAUCUCUUAAGGAUGAGAAGGAGACAGCAAUGGAUCUCUUACAGACAGAAGUAGAAACUCUGAAAGCUCAGUCUAAUGACUUGAAACAUUCUCUCUUUGAGGAUGAGUUGGAGAAAGAAAAACUUAGAAAGCAGGUAUUCCAGUUAAAGGGUGAUCUGAAGAAGAAGGAUGAUGCUAUCACUAGUAUCGAGAAGAAGCUCAAGGAAAGCAGCAAACUCACAGCAGUUUCUGAUAAUACAAAAACUGCUCUAAGAAACAAUAAGUCUGCUCCAGUUCCUCAUGGCUCUGAAGAGGCAGCAAUUCUGUGGGAGAAAAUAAGAUUGCUUGAGGGACAGAUAAAGCUAAAGGAAGCUGCUUUAGAAACCUCGGCAAAUUCAUUUUUGAAAAAGGAAAGGGAUCUUUUAAAUAAAAUUGAAGAGUUAGAGCAUAGAGUAGAAGAACUCAAUCAAAACAGUGCAAUAUUCUUUGACAGCCAACACCAAGAGUUACCUGAGGACAACAAUGGCGUUACUUCAAAUGGUGAUUUAUCUAAAGAUAUAAGAAGCACAGAUGAUUACCUGAGUAGUACAGCAUGGAUAUCUGGAGACAAUGGAAAUGCAAAAUCAUUAGUCAAGAGCAAUUGUGCCAUUAUAUCAGGGGAAGAACUGAAAACCAGUGUCAUCAGCAAUGGAGAUUGCAAUACUAAUGAAUUAAUCAGUGAAUUAGAAUCAUUGAAGGAGAGAAACAAAUCAAUGGAAAAUGAACUGAAAGAGAUGCAAGAGAGAUAUUCAGAAAUGAGUCUCAAAUUUGCAGAGGUAGAAGGUGAAAGACAACAGCUUGUGAUGACAGUACGAAGCCUAAAGAAUGCCAAGAAGAGCUAAUCAUUUUUCUUGAUAUGCAGAAAACUACAUACUGUGAAUAGCUAAGUGGCUACAUGUUCCCACACUAAAAUUCUAUAUGUGACAGUUCUAUCGGAGUGAAUAAUCAAUUUGUACAAAAUUAAUAGCAAUCUGAAUGUAGGAUCUUAGUUGCCUUUCUGUAACUUCCAAUAUUAAUUUAGUUAAGCUGACCCUGGAAAUUAUGAUAAAGCCAUUAGCUUGUAAAUAAGUCUACUAAAGCUUCUCUUAAAUGCUUCCUAUUUCGAAGGGGAGCCUGUGGGCAAUUCAGAGUUGCCCAGUGCUGCAGCCCGUGAGGUAAAUCUGCUAUCCAAUUUCUAUGGACUUCUGAUUUUAACCUGUCUGAAGUUCAUGCAUUAUUCAAAGUAAACUUCUCCA